Molecule: ribosomal RNA, 1172 nt
Filed under: Salmonella enterica subsp. enterica serovar Paratyphi B var. L(+) tartrate +
Lineage: Bacteria; Pseudomonadati; Pseudomonadota; Gammaproteobacteria; Enterobacterales; Enterobacteriaceae
Description: partial 23S ribosomal RNA
Rfam family: Bacterial large subunit ribosomal RNA
Source: RNAcentral
GGGACACGUGGUAUCCUGUCUGAAUAUGGGGGGACCAUCCUCCAAGGCUAAAUACUCCUGACUGACCGAUAGUGAACCAGUACCGUGAGGGAAAGGCGAAAAGAACCCCGGCGAGGGGAGUGAAAAAGAACCUGAAACCGUGUACGUACAAGCAGUGGGAGCACAGGUUUACCUGUGUGACUGCGUACCUUUUGUAUAAUGGGUCAGCGACUUAUAUUCUGUAGCAAGGUUAACCGAAUAGGGGAGCCGGAGGGAAACCGAGUCUUAAUUGGGCGUUAAGUUGCAGGGUAUAGACCCGAAACCCGGUGAUCUAGCCAUGGGCAGGUUGAAGGUUGGGUAACACUAACUGGAGGACCGAACCGACUAAUGUUGAAAAAUUAGCGGAUGACCUGUGGCUGGGGGUGAAAGGCCAAUCAAACCGGGAGAUAGCUGGUUCUCCCCGAAAGCUAUUUAGGUAGCGCCUCGUGAAUUCAUCUCCGGGGGUAGAGCACUGUUUCGGCUAGGGGGCCAUCCCGGCUUACCAACCCGAUGCAAACUGCGAAUACCGGAGAAUGUUAUCACGGGAGACACACGGCGGGUGCUAACGUCCGUCGUGAAGAGGGAAACAACCCAGACCGCCAGCUAAGGUCCCAAAGUCAUGGUUAAGUGGGAAACGAUGUGGGAAGGCCCAGACAGCCAGGAUGUUGGCUUAGAAGCAGCCAUCAUUUAAAGAAAGCGUAAUAGCUCACUGGUCGAGUCGGCCUGCGCGGAAGAUGUAACGGGGCUAAACCAUGCACCGAAGCUGCGGCAGCGACGCUUAUGCGUUGUUGGGUAGGGGAGCGUUCUGUAAGCCUGUGAAGGUGUGUCGUGAGGCAUGCUGGAGGUAUCAGAAGUGCGAAUGCUGACAUAAGUAACGAUAAAGCGGGUGAAAAGCCCGCUCGCCGGAAGACCAAGGGUUCCUGUCCAACGUUAAUCGGGGCAGGGUGAGUCGACCCCUAAGGCGAGGCCGAAAGGCGUAGUCGAUGGGAAACGGGUUAAUAUUCCCGUACUUGGUGUUACUGCGAAGGGGGGACGGAGAAGGCUAUGUUGGCCGGGCGACGGUUGUCCCGGUUUAAGCGUGUAGGUGUGUGUUCCAGGUAAAUCCGGUUCACUUUAACACUGAGGCGUGAUGACGAGGCACUACGGUGCUGAAG